RNAcentral lists this ribosomal RNA (459 nucleotides) under uncultured bacterium. RNAcentral's name for it is "partial 16S ribosomal RNA". It matches the Rfam family "Bacterial small subunit ribosomal RNA", at positions 339 to 795 of the family's 1533-position model. The record is from RNAcentral.
CUACGGGAUGCACCAGUAAGGAAUAUUGCGCAAUGGAGGCAACUCUGACGCAGCCAUGCCGCGUGCAGGAAGAAGGCCUUAUGGGUCGUAAACUGCUUUUAUUUAGGAAUAAACCCCCGAACGUGUUCGGGGCUGAAGGUACUAAACGAAUAAGCACCGGCUAACUCCGUGCCAGCAGCCGCGGUAAUACGGAGGGUGCAAGCGUUAUCCGGAUUUAUUGGGUUUAAAGGGUGCGCGGGCGGGCUAUUAAGUCAGUGGUGAAAUCCCGGGGCUCAACUCCGGAACUGCCAUUGAUACUGAUAGUCUUGAGUUUGGUUGAAGUGGGUGGAAUGUAGCAUGUAGCGGUGAAAUGCAUAGAUAUGCUACAGAACACCAAUCGCGAAGGCAGCUCACUAAGCCAAAACUGACGCUCAUGCACGAAAGCGUGGGGAUCAAACAGGAUUAGAUACCCCCGUAGUC